GGGAGCUAAUUAUUAUAUAUUUAUAGAUAUUAAGAUGUUGCAUAAUUAAGUAAAUAAUAAUUAGGAGUGAUAGGCUUUUCACAUUCAACGAUAACUUGAUGAUUUAGAAAUGUAUUAGUACAUUUUCACCUUUAAAGUGAUAAGGUUUUAAAGGAUUAACAAAUGGUUAUUACAUAAUACAUAUAGUGUUUAAUCACUAAUAUAUAAUAAAUUAUAAUAUUAAUUUAUUUGUAUUGUUUAAUUUAUAAAUCUAUAGAAAUAAUAAUUAUAUAUAUAUAUAAUGUUAAUAUUAGUAUAAGAGAGUUAUUAAUAACGAACUCGGCAAUAAGUCUUUCAACUGUUUAUCAAAAACAUAGCUGCAUGAAUUAAUAUGUAGUGUUUUCUGCUCAAUGAAUAUUAAAUAGCCGCAGUACUCUGACUGUGCUAAGGUAGCGCAAUCAAUUGACUUUUAAAUGAAGUCCAGUAUGAAAGAAAUUAUGAAGGGCUACUUUUUCAUUAAUAAUAAAUGAAUUUACUUAAGAAGUGUAAAUUCUUUUAUAUAAAUAAUAGACGAGAAGACCCUAGAAAUUUUAAAGAAUCAUCUUUUUGUUGGGGCAACAAAGUAGCAUUAUUAAAUCUACUAUAAUGACACGAAAGAUAUGUCUUGAGAGAUUAAAUUACUCUAGGGAUAACAGCAUAAUUUAUUAAAGUUUGUGACCUCGAUGUUGGAUUAGGGAAUUU
Molecule: ribosomal RNA, 720 nt
Filed under: Austrochloritis sp. SN37
Lineage: Eukaryota; Metazoa; Mollusca; Gastropoda; Stylommatophora; Camaenidae
Description: partial large subunit ribosomal RNA
Source: RNAcentral